UACGGAGGGUGCGAGCGUUGUCCGGAUUUAUUGGGUUUAAAGGGUGCGUAGGCGGCCCCGUAAGUCGGCGGUGAAACCCACGGGCUCAACCCGUGGCGUGCCGACGAUACUGCGGGGCUUGGGUCGUCUCUGGGCGGGCGGAAUGGAAGGUGUAGCGGUGAAAUGCAUAGAUAUCUACCAGAACGCCGUUAGCGAAGGCAGCUCGCUGGGGACGUACCGACGCUGAGGCACGAUAGCGUGGGGAUCGAACAGG
This 253-nucleotide ribosomal RNA is filed under the name uncultured bacterium. Its description in RNAcentral is "partial 16S ribosomal RNA". It matches the Rfam family "Bacterial small subunit ribosomal RNA", at positions 524 to 776 of the family's 1533-position model. The record is from RNAcentral.